Molecule: unclassified non-coding RNA, 358 nt
Filed under: Hevea brasiliensis (rubber tree)
Lineage: Eukaryota; Viridiplantae; Streptophyta; Magnoliopsida; Malpighiales; Euphorbiaceae
Source: RNAcentral
CUCCGGCCCAUUCUCCUCCAUCGCCCCCAACCACCUUGCCACCGCCUCCAAAGUGCUCACGCAACCACCGCACGGCUCCUUCCGCAAUACCAACUCCGAGUCAUAUAUGCUCCCUCCUUCCCUACCCUCAUCAAAUCCAUCCAAACACACUCUCGUAGAGAAUUUGCUUAAAUAUCCUUCGCUUGCGCUCACCAUCUCCUUCGCAUGCUUCCAUGUCGCAUCAAACACGAUUAAAACCACGGGAACAUUGUUGGUAUUUCGGAAUUCGUUAACGGAUUUUUUGAGGUCCGAUAAGGUUAUGGCCGGCGGAGAAUGGGGAGGAGGGGAGAGGGAAAAUGUAGCCGGAGAGGGGGGGGUG